GAGCUUGCUCCUGAAUUCAGCGGCGGACGGGUGAGUAAUGUUUAGGAAUCUGCCUGGUAGUGGGGGGCGGCGUUUGGAAAGGAGCGCGUGUACCGCAUACGUCCUACGGGAGAAAGCAGGGGACCUUCGGGCCUUGCGCUAUCAGAUGAGCCUAGGGCGGAUUAGCUAGUUGGUGAGGGAAUGGCUCACCAAGGCGACGAUCCGUAACUGGUCUGAGAGGAUGAUCAGUCACACUGGAACUGAGACACGGUCCAGACUCCUACGGGAGGCAGCAGUGGGGAAUAUUGGACAAUGGGCGAAAGCCUGAUCCAGCCAUGCCGCGUGUGUGAAGAAGGUCUUCGGAUUGUAAAGCACUUUAAGUUGGGAGGAAGGGCAGUAAAUUAAUACUUUGCUGUUUUGACGUUACCGACAGAAUAAGCACCGGCUAACUCUGUGCCAGCCGCGGUAAUACAGAGGGUGCAAGCGUUAAUCGGAAUUACUGGGCG
RNAcentral lists this ribosomal RNA (485 nucleotides) under Pseudomonas putida. RNAcentral's name for it is "bacterial SSU rRNA". It matches the Rfam family "Bacterial small subunit ribosomal RNA", at positions 76 to 560 of the family's 1533-position model. The record is from RNAcentral. Lineage: Bacteria; Pseudomonadati; Pseudomonadota; Gammaproteobacteria; Pseudomonadales; Pseudomonadaceae.